Molecule: long non-coding RNA, 219 nt
Filed under: Elaeis guineensis (African oil palm)
Lineage: Eukaryota; Viridiplantae; Streptophyta; Magnoliopsida; Arecales; Arecaceae
Description: long non-coding RNA (EGUI_LNC026581)
Source: RNAcentral
AGUAGACUUAGAGGAAGAGGAGGAGAAGAAGUAGAUGAAGAGAAAGAAGAGGAGGAAGGAGGGGUCAUGAGUGAGCUUGGAGGAGUAAGAAGAGGAAAAAAUGUGAAUGAGAAAGAAGGGGAGGAAGGAAAGGAGAGAUCGCUAUGAGAAAGAGACAGAGAUGGUAGGAGCCACCAUGGAGAGGGAUGUAGGUGAGCUUAGAGGAGGACGAGAAGUGGG